UACAUAGGGUCCGAGCGUUGUCCGGAUUUAUUGGGCGUAAAGAGCUCGUAGGCGGCUCAGUUAGUCGGAUGUGAAAACUCGGGGCUCAACCCCGAGACGCCAUCCGAUACUGCUGUGGCUUGAAUCUGGUAGGGGAGCACGGAAUUCCUGGUGUAGCGGUGAAAUGCGCAGAUAUCAGGAGGAACACCGGCGGCGAAGGCGGUGCUCUGGGCCUUACCUGACGCUGAUGCGCGAAAGCCAGGGGAGCGAACGGG
RNAcentral lists this ribosomal RNA (254 nucleotides) under uncultured bacterium. RNAcentral describes it as "partial 16S ribosomal RNA". It matches the Rfam family "Bacterial small subunit ribosomal RNA", at positions 524 to 776 of the family's 1533-position model. The record is from RNAcentral.